UGUAUUCAACCCGCGGUCCAAGCAGAUUUGUGAAGAAAAAAGAGAGCACAGAAGGAGUACGGGCUCGCCUCCUCUCCCUCUCACCCAUGGAGUCAUCGCCGCCGCCGCCACCCACACCGGCCGCUUCCGGCGACCUCCGGCGACGCGCAACACGCCCCCGAGCUACCCACGGUCCGGGCCUCCCUCCCCUCUGGCCAGAUUCUCCGCUCCCGUCCUCUACCUCCCGCUUGCAACCCCACCCCUGUGGCUAGGGUUUCGGGCAGGGCUUCGCCGGCGCGUCUCCGGCGGCCCCAGUUAUUUGGAUCAUCAUCAUGUCGCAAGUUUCCGACAUCGCUUUACACACCGUGGACUUCACCGGAAAUCUACCUGAGGACUGAGAAUAUGACUAGGGGAAUGAUCAUAGAUGCCAACACCUACAGUAUGAUUUAUCUUGAUAGAGGUGCAGGGGAUUCGUAAGUAGUUUUAGUAUUUUUUCUAGAUUGCUCAAGUACUUGAGCUUCUGCAAUCAUGAAAAACAAAAGAAGGGACCAGUAGUCAGGUUCCAUUAAUCCUUCUGUAGGUGUUCUCUUUGAUGCCUUUCCCCCUUCAUUACCAAUACAAUGAUGCUUUCUCUGUUAAAAUCUUGACACUACAUUAUCAAUCUCAAUAGCUUAAUUGAUUCUAAGCUCACCAGAAGUAUUUGUUCACAAAUUUGGAUGAUCUAUCUCAUAUGCUUAUACUUGAACCCUCAAUAAAAUAAUAUUCUUGUGCCAGAUUUUUGCCAUUCGGUAAUAGUUAUAAUAGCAUACUUCCGCACUUAUACAGGCACGGGAAAGAAACAGAAAAUAGUUUCUUACGGGCCUCGUUCUGGACCUGUUCCCACUUAUAUAGAAUAUAUUUUCUACCGGUUUCAUCAAACAAAAAAGUCAUAAACAUUAAAUAUUUAAAGUUUUGUCUCGUUCGUACUUUCUAAAAUCUGAAAUUUUACUGAAAUCAUCAUAGAAAUUCCGCAAGAAUAUUAAAGGCACCCGUGUCAUUCAUCCCUACUAGAUGAUGAAUGCUAUUGCUAUUUUUUCUCAAAGAUGCCUCUUUUUCAUUAAGAAGAAAGCUCAAUAGACCAAAAUUCCAUAUCAUUUCUUCUUUCUUAAGGAAAACUGACUGCGGGCAGCAAUCACAGAUGUUUAGUCUAUUUUCAGUUGACAAUAUACUGAAUAAUUUGGCAGUGAACAAGUACAGAAAAUGUUGUUAAGAAGCGAUAGUUUUGAACCUGAGUUUAUAAAAGAAAUUGAACCAAUUCGUGUUGAAAAUAUCUUAGGCAUCAAGUCCACCAGGUUUGAGAUGUUCACAGAAACAUGUCAGUUUCAGGCAACUGCAAUUCAGAAUUUUUUGCCACACUGUAACGUUUCAGGCAUUCAGAAACAUUUCUCAUGAUGUUAAUAUGUUGACUAGGGGCCUUUUGUAGCUACUUUAAUGGAAAUUGUAGUACCAUAGUGUCCUGCUGCAUAUAAUAAAUUGCAAAGUGAAAGUAAAAAAAACUUAGGAUUUGGUUGUCUAUCCGAUCCAUCAGUAAACAAGCAGGGGCCAUGUUGUCAAGGAACAGAGUUCAAAAACCAUCAAUCUCAGGAACACUCUGACCAUGUAUUUGAUUCUGUUGAAGACCCAAUAUAUGAUAAGAUGCUAUUUUCAUUUGCUAGGCAACCAUGAAAAUGUUUCGGUCCAAUUCAUAAUUUAAAUCAGUCCAGUGUGUUCUUUUAUUCAGUUAUUAUAAUUUUACUCCUGUGUGUUCUUUUGUUUAGUUCUGUGAGGAGGAAGGGACUACAUCGAUGUGUAAUAUGCUCUUUGUUCUACAACCAUACCUACAUGGGAUUAUAGUUCACUUAGAAAUCUGAUAUUAUUUUCCUCUAGAAAUGAGCAUGAGCCCUCUCAAGCUCCACGGGUCCUCUGAAAUUUUUUGCCAGAGCAUGCAGCCGAACCAGGGCUGCCCGGGCUUCAGCUUCCUCCACACUGUCGGAAACUGGUAACUCACAGUAUGUCGACAAAUACACUUAGCCUCUGUAAUCCCUGGCUACUGCUCCCGCCCAUCCCGGCCACUGAUCUGCUAAAAACUUGCGUCAUUGUUCAACUAGGCUGUGCCAUGUUCCGGUGGAGUCCACUGUAUGGGUGGCAGUGAAACAGGUAUUUGCGUGGUAAACGACGGGGUCAGUUGUUCCUUUCCCUUCUCUGAACUCAUCUUUUCCAUCGCAUUGCCUAUCUCUUACUCGUACUUCUGCAGGAAGCUGAUAGAAUGUAGGACAUAUUCUUUUCCUUGACGGACUACUACAACACACGGGCAUUUUCAUGAAGAGAACAUAGGGAUUUAAAGUUUUUGUAGCCUGCACUGGAGGCUGUAGAGUUACGUUUUUGUACAUUUUGCGAAUCGUUUUGUUCCAGAUUCUCUUAGUGUAUAGUCUAACUACAUAAGGUUAUUUACUAUGUGCACAUUUGCUUUUUCCAUUGCUGAUCAUGUCCUUCUCUCUGUGCACUUACAUCCUUCUGUUAACAGUUUAGUGAUCUAUUAAUUAUUCAGAAGGGACGCUGCAUGUUCCUAGAUGCAUAGCUUUUCUUAUAUAGAUUUUCAUUACACUGAGAUUUUUUUUGAGGGGUAACAAUGGGAUUUAAGAUAGUAUAUUUUUGUAGAAUUCUCAAACUAAAAUCCGAUCAAACCGUACCUCCAAAGGCCAACAUAAUGGCACUUAAAAUAAAUGCUAAUCUGCACUCACGCUGCAAUCUGGUGCCCAUUCUUCUGGUGAUUUGGUCAAAGCUACAACCAAGCAAAGAUAUUUUACAUGCUAUAAGAAGUUAAGAACUAAGAUACGGAUUUUGUGUUCCCAGGUCUAUAAUAUGCGUGCUCAACCGGUUCCCUGCAAGCGCUUUCGGCCAUGACUUCAAGUUCUGCAGCUAGGCCGUGAAGUGUUGGUCCUUCUCACCGUCCACCGAUGAUGGUGCCCGAGAGAAGUCGGGGAAGGAGUAAAGGACGUUGAUGUCAUGGUCGUCGAAACGACUUGCCGUGGAUGCAGUCACGCACUGGAUGCCAUCGACGGCUAGCCGUGGACGAGCACCUUGCCGCCUCCGCAAAAUAUGGAUGCACGGGAUUCUGGUACUAACAUUGUGGAGUGUGAGCUGUUUCGGUGCUGUGACAUAUACACUCUGGAAGAAACCCCCGGUUUGAUGGUUUGAUUUACAGGUGAUGCUGAUUCGUUUGGGAUCUACUUCUGACAGAUCAAUUUGGUUUGUUGGCUGCUGGGUGGCUUCACACGUAUGUAAUAUAACAUGGCCCCAGAGCUACACGUAUGUACCGUAACGUUUCAUCUUUCAAUUUUGAUGUUCAAUAUGACUCCUUGAUCCCGUUUCUUAGGGUUCAUGACUGACAAUUUGUCUUGGGCUAUGGAACUAAAAUGUCUAUUGAAUGUUCAUAGAUGUCUUAAAAGGAGAACAAUUCAGACUUUAGAUGUACAUCAUAUUUGAUGCAUCAGUCUAAUCUGUACUUCAAAUUACAGUGUAUAAUUUGUUCGGACACUAUAUAUAUAUAUAUAUUUAAUGGA
Triticum urartu is the source of this 3560-nucleotide non-coding RNA. The record is from RefSeq and is a predicted model, not a curated record. NCBI's taxonomy places the organism in Eukaryota, Viridiplantae, Streptophyta, Magnoliopsida, Poales, Poaceae.